ACAUGCAAGUCGAACGAUGAACCACUUCGGUGGGGAUUAGUGGCGAACGGGUGAGUAACACGUGGGCAAUCUGCCCUGCACUCUGGGACAAGCCCUGGAAACGGGGUCUAAUACCGGAUACUGACCCUCGCAGGCAUCUGCGAGGUUCGAAAGCUCCGGCGGUGCAGGAUGAGCCCGCGGCCUAUCAGCUUGUUGGUGAGGUAAUGGCUCACCAAGGCGACGACGGGUAGCCGGCCUGAGAGGGCGACCGGCCACACUGGGACUGAGACACGGCCCAGACUCCUACGGGAGGCAGCAGUGGGGAAUAUUGCACAAUGGGCGAAAGCCUGAUGCAGCGACGCCGCGUGAGGGAUGACGGCCUUCGGGUUGUAAACCUCUUUCAGCAGGGAAGAAGCGAAAGUGACGGUACCUGCAGAAGAAGCGCCGGCUAACUACGUGCCAGCAGCCGCGGUAAUACGUAGGGCGCAAGCGUUGUCCGGAAUUAUUGGGCGUAAAGAGCUCGUAGGCGGCUUGUCGCGUCGGUUGUGAAAGCCCGGGGCUUAACCCCGGGUCUGCAGUCGAUACGGGCAGGCUAAAGUUCGGUAGGGGAGAUCGGAAUUCCUGGUGUAGCGGUGAAAUGCGCAUAUAUCAGGAGGAACACCGGUGGCGAAGGCGGAUCUCUGGGCCGAUACUGACGCUGAGGAGCGAAAGCGUGGGGAGCGAUCAGGAUUAGAUACCCUUGUAAUACCCCUGCCGUAACCGGGGGGAAAUAGGUGUGGGCAACAUUUCAACGUGUUCCGGGCCGCAGCUAACGCAUUUAAAUUGCCCCCGACUAGGGGAGUAACGGGGGGCAAGGGUAAAAAAUCAUAAGAAAUUAAACGGGGGUCCCGCAACAAAGCGGCCGGAAGCAUGUGGGCUUAAUUGGACUCAUACGAGAAGAACCUUAAGCAAGGUCUUGACAUACACCGGGUAAGCAUCAGAGAUGGUGCCCCCCUUGUGGUCGGUGUAACAGGUGGUGCAUGGCUGUCGUCAGCUCGUGUCGUGAGAUGUUGGGUUAAGUCCCGCAACGUGCGCAACCCUUGUCCCGUCUUGCCAGCAGGCCCUUGUGGUGUUGGGGACUCACGGGAGACCGACCGGGGUCUAAUCGGAGGAAGGUGGGGACGACGUCAAGUCAUCAUGCCCCUUAUGUAUUGGGCUGCACACGUGCUACAAUGGCCGGUACAAUGAGCUGCGAUACCGCAAGGUGGAGCGAAUGUCUAUAAGCCGGUCUCAGUUCGGACUGGGGUGUGCAACUCGACCCCAUGCAUUCGGAGUCGUUAGUUAUCGCAGAUCAGCAUUGAUGCGGUGAAUANGUUCCCGGGCGUUGUACACACCGCCCGUCACGUCACGCAAGGUCGGUGACAGCAGACAGCCGUUGGACCAAC
This 1403-nucleotide ribosomal RNA is filed under the name Streptomyces sp. KSR58S14. Its description in RNAcentral is "16S ribosomal RNA". It matches the Rfam family "Bacterial small subunit ribosomal RNA". Lineage: Bacteria; Bacillati; Actinomycetota; Actinomycetes; Kitasatosporales; Streptomycetaceae. The record is from RNAcentral.